This 492-nucleotide ribosomal RNA is filed under the name uncultured bacterium. RNAcentral describes it as "partial 16S ribosomal RNA". It matches the Rfam family "Bacterial small subunit ribosomal RNA", at positions 29 to 507 of the family's 1533-position model. The record is from RNAcentral.
AGUGAACGCUGGCGGUAGGCCUAACACAUGCAAGUCGAACGGCAGCACAGUAAGAGCUUGCUCUUACGGGUGGCGAGUGGCGGACGGGUGAGGAAUACAUCGGAAUCUACCUUUUCGUGGGGGAUAACGUAGGGAAACUUACGCUAAUACCGCAUACGACCUACGGGUGAAAGCAGGGGAUCUUCGGACCUUGCGCGAUUGAAUGAGCCGAUGUCGGAUUAGCUAGUUGGCGGGGUAAAGGCCCACCAAGGCGACGAUCCGUAGCUGGUCUGAGAGGAUGAUCAGCCACACUGGAACUGAGACACGGUCCAGACUCCUACGGGAGGCAGCAGUGGGGAAUAUUGGACAAUGGGCGCAAGCCUGAUCCAGCCAUACCGCGUGGGUGAAGUAGGCCUUCGGGUUGUAAAGCCCUUUUGUUGGGAAAGAAAAGCAGCAGGUUAAUACCCCGCUGUUCUGACGGUACCCAAAGAAUAAGCACCGGCUAACUUCGUG